Molecule: small nuclear RNA, 304 nt
Filed under: Myotis brandtii (Brandt's bat)
Lineage: Eukaryota; Metazoa; Chordata; Mammalia; Chiroptera; Vespertilionidae
Description: 7SK RNA
Rfam family: 7SK RNA
About the family: 7SK was discovered as an abundant small nuclear RNA in the mid-70s but a possible function has only recently been suggested.
Source: Rfam by way of RNAcentral
GGAUGUGAGGGUGAUCUGGCUGUGACAUCUGUCACCCUUUGAUCACCAGGGUUGAUUCUGCUGAUCUGGCUGGCUAGGCGGGUGUCCCCCCCCCCAUGCGUGUGUGUCCCUCCCCAAGCUGCACACGCUCGAGCUCUCAAAGAGAAGGACCUUCCCUCCAGAGGAGAGAACCAGUCAAGGGUAUACAAGUACCUGUGCUCCCCUGCCAGAACCUCCAAACAAGCUCUCAAUUGUUUAAAGUCUUUAAAUGGUUCCAAAAACAUUGUUUAAAUUUAUUAACUACUUAUGUAAACAAUUUCUCAAU